RNAcentral lists this long non-coding RNA (209 nucleotides) under Brassica napus (rape). Its description in RNAcentral is "long non-coding RNA (BNAP_LNC002028)". Lineage: Eukaryota; Viridiplantae; Streptophyta; Magnoliopsida; Brassicales; Brassicaceae. The record is from RNAcentral.
GCGUCGUUGCUCCAAGACCGAGACCACCGUAAGCGGUGAUGUCAAAUCCAGAGUUCGGACAAGGCAGUCGUUGACAGGACGGCGAAGAAGAGCGAAGGAGAGACACUAAGAAGGACAAAACAGAGGCUCCGGCGCCGGCACGGACGCUCACGCGCCGGCCGCGCGCCGAACCCCAAACUAGAUCUCGCUUUUCUCUCUUUUCUCUCUCU